RNAcentral lists this ribosomal RNA (447 nucleotides) under Triticum aestivum (bread wheat). Its description in RNAcentral is "partial small subunit ribosomal RNA". The record is from RNAcentral. Lineage: Eukaryota; Viridiplantae; Streptophyta; Magnoliopsida; Poales; Poaceae.
GGGAACCCAAUUUGUUCGUUUUGCCAUGAUAUUGAAACUGCCGAUCACCUUUUCUUCGGGUGUGUGUUUGCCCGUUCUGUUUAGGGGGUGAUUGGGGCUGCUUUGGGAGCAUCUUGUACUCCUAAAUCUAUUUGGCAGAGCUGGGUAUGGCUCUAUAAAUAUCUUCCUGGGGGCAAAAAGCAUUACAUGUCUAUGGUUGCUGCUAUAUGUUGGGGUAUUUGGUGCACCCGUAACAAGGCAACCUUCGAUAACUAUGUCAUUCGCUCUCCGUUGGAGGCUGUUUUCACGGCGUGUUCCUUUUUGAUGUAUUGGCCAGGUCUUCUGAAAGGGAUUGACAAGGAAAGAGUCCAGGCUAGAGUGCAGAAGAUGGUGCGCGUGGCUGCGUCUUUGGCGGACCGUUCUACUCCCAAGGGAAGGCUCAUGCUGGGAAAUGGCGCGGGGGCUUGA